Molecule: transfer RNA, 87 nt
Filed under: Pseudomonas sp.
Lineage: Bacteria; Pseudomonadati; Pseudomonadota; Gammaproteobacteria; Pseudomonadales; Pseudomonadaceae
Also listed under: 23 other names
Description: tRNA-Leu
Rfam family: tRNA
About the family: Transfer RNA (tRNA) molecules are approximately 80 nucleotides in length. Their secondary structure includes four short double-helical elements and three loops (D, anti-codon, and T loops).
Source: RNAcentral
GCCCGGAUGGCGAAAUUGGUAUACGCAAGAGACUUAAAAUCUCUCAUCCGAAAGGGUAUGCGGGUUCGACCCCCGCUCCGGGCACCA